UGAUGAAGAACACAGUGAAAUGUGAUAAGUAAUGUGAAUUGCAGAAUUCAGUGAAUCAUCAAAUCUUUGAACGCACCUUGCGCCUUUUGGUAUUCCAAAAGGCACACCUGUUUGAGUGUCAUGAAACCCUCUCAUCAAUUAACUUUUUCAUUAAGGUUUUUAGAUGGAUGUUGAGUGUUGCUGUUUUAUACAGCUCGCUUUAAAUGAAUAAGUUCUAAUCAUUUGAUUUGGAUUGACUUGAUGUGAUAUAUAUCAUCUUCAUCAAGGAAGUGUAUCUUGUGUACAGCCAAUCAUUUUCUGAUCAAGAGGCUACCAAAUUUUCCAUCUUUAAAGUGGGAAAUGUGCUACUUUAAUUUAUUUUUAAGACCUCAAAUCAGGUGGAAUUACCCACUGAACUUAAGCAUAUCAAUAAGUGGAGGAAAAGAAACUAACAAGGAUUCCCC
Molecule: ribosomal RNA, 443 nt
Filed under: Gymnosporangium clavipes
Lineage: Eukaryota; Fungi; Basidiomycota; Pucciniomycetes; Pucciniales; Gymnosporangiaceae
Description: eukaryotic LSU rRNA
Rfam family: 5.8S ribosomal RNA (bases 2-121)
Source: RNAcentral